Molecule: long non-coding RNA, 257 nt
Filed under: Coturnix japonica (Japanese quail)
Lineage: Eukaryota; Metazoa; Chordata; Aves; Galliformes; Phasianidae
Description: lncRNA (ENSCJPG00005015316.1)
Source: RNAcentral
CUUUUAGUGAUGCCUUUAUGAUCAUGGUGUUAAAUGGGAAGCCAGGACACUCCUGCACAAAUACUCGGUUAUUGAGGGAGUAGAGAUCGUCAGAGGAUCCAGCAUGCAACACAGAAGAAAGAGACGUCUCAUUGCCUUCAGGGAGAGUCUUCCUGCCGUUCAGGAUACUAAAUGCAUAUGUAAGUUUUUGACUUAGAGGGUCCCAUGCUUUUACAGACAAUGAAGACACCGCAGUACAGUAAGAAUCCUAAUUCUGA